CAGUCGCCACGGGAAUACAGAGGGUGCAAGCGUUAAUCGGAAUUACUGGGCGUAAAGCGCGCGUAGGUGGUUUGUUAAGUUGGAUGUGAAAUCCCCGGGCUCAACCUGGGAACUGCAUCCAAAACUGGCAAGCUAGAGUAUGGUAGAGGGUGGUGGAAUUUCCUGUGUAGCGGUGAAAUGCGUAGAUAUAGGAAGGAACACCAGUGGCGAAGGCGACCACCUGGACUGAUACUGACACUGAGGUGCGAAAGCGUGGGGAGCAAACAGGAUUAGAUACCCCAGUAGUCCCUGUCUCUUAUAC
RNAcentral lists this ribosomal RNA (301 nucleotides) under uncultured bacterium. RNAcentral's name for it is "partial 16S ribosomal RNA". It matches the Rfam family "Bacterial small subunit ribosomal RNA", at positions 509 to 807 of the family's 1533-position model. The record is from RNAcentral.